GUCUAUCUGAGGAGGUAACUUUUAGCAUAUGAUAAUGCAUGCUUGCACAAAGUCAGACCACAUAUUAUAAUGUUUGUCUUCAAUCAAUCAAUUUAAACAAAAGAGAUGGGGACUUUAUAAUAUAAUAAGGGUCCAUAUAUCACAGUGAAAAAAGACAUACAUGUAUUUUUACUUUAACAUGAACUAAUGCUGAGUUACAGCAUAUUCUAAUCAUAAACUAUUGAAGAGUCAUCAUUAACUACAACAUGACAUGUUUUUCAUUGUUAGUUAAUGCAGUCAUUUACAAUAAAUUAAUUUGAGUUCAUGUUGUAGUUAAGUAAGUUCAGUAAGUUACAUGUCUUAACUCAGCAUUAGUUUAUAUUUACUUAUAUUUAAGUAAGAAUUCAUUUAGGUAUACGUUCAAUGUUUCCAAUGAUGAGCAUUUAAUCCACUAAACCCAGAGAUAAUUCCUAAGGCAUGUUUAAAGAGUUUUGUAUUUCAUCAAGAAGGUGCUGAUUCACAAAGAUUUUAUAUUUAAGAAAAUCUGAGCAUCAUUCAAAAUAACUGUUAACAUGUUUGUCAACUAAACAUGUUUUGUAAACGUAAUAAACUUUAUAAAAAUAUUUUUUAUUUUUUUAUUAAUAAUCAAGUAUAAAGAACAAUGCAUAGUGUGAAAAUGCGGAUUAUAAAAAAGUAUAUUAAAGAAAAGGACUACAUUUCCCAGAAUGCACCUGCACCCACUCAUCUGACUGCCCCCACCCUUCAGGUGCGACUGCUCAACCUAUGGGCUUGACGGAAAAAUUCAAAAUCGCGAACCGUUACUGCCUGGACUACUCCGUCUCUUAUUUGUUUGUUUGCUCAUUAACAGUAAGAGGUCAUGUACACUGUGGUCAACUUUGUGGACGAUGAAGAGGUUUCUGGGUAAAGAUGAUAGAAAUAUAAUGAAGUAACAGUGAAAGCUAAAACAUCAGACUGAUCCAGACACUGAAGAAAUUGAUGUCACUGCAAUCUGGCCAAAAUGAUACAACUAUAUUGAAGUAGCCUACUGUAAUGAAGCUGCAGAACAACACAGAGACUCUGAGGACAUCAACACAGAAAAUGAAGGCUCCAAAGAGAUGUCUGUCCAGAUGAGGGUGCAUCAACGUUACCUUUGCUGACAAGUAUAUGCUUUACAAUGUAAAACCUAACAGUUAACUUAACUCAAACCAUUUAAGGAAAUCGGUUGCCUUAACCCAUUAAGUUUUAAAAAACAUACAUUUGAGUACUGUGAACUUAAGUCUUGUGCAAUUAUGCACUUAUAUUUAGUUAGUGUGAACUUAAAUAUAAGUGCAUAACUGCAUGUGACUCAAUUUGUUUAAGUUCACAGUACUCAAAUCUAUGUGUUUUAAAACUUAAAUGGUUUAAUGCAACCGGUUUUCUU
This is a long non-coding RNA of Paramisgurnus dabryanus, 1399 nucleotides long. RefSeq lists it as uncharacterized. The record is from RefSeq and is a predicted model, not a curated record. Lineage: Eukaryota; Metazoa; Chordata; Actinopteri; Cypriniformes; Cobitidae.